CCUACGGGUGGCAGCAGUGAGGAAUAUUGGUCAAUGGACGAGAGUCUGAACCAGCCAAGUAGCGUGAAGGAUGACUGCCCUAUGGGUUGUAAACUUCUUUUAUAUGGGAAUAAACUGUUCCACGUGUGGCAUUUUGUAUGUACCAUAUGAAUAAGGAUCGGCUAACUCCGUGCCAGCAGCCGCGGUAAUACUGAGGAUCCGAGCGUUAUACGGAUUUAUUGGGUUUAAAGGGAGCGUAGGUGGAUUGUUAAGUCAGUUGUGAAAGUUUGCGGCUUAACCGUAAAAUGGCAGUUGAAACUGGCAGUCUUGAGUACAGUAGAGGUGGGCGGAAUGCGUGGUGUAGCGGUGAAAUGCUUAGAUAUCACGAAGAACUCCGAUUGCGAAGGCAGCUCACUGGACUGCAACUGACACUGAGGCUCGAAAGUGUGGGUAUCAAACAGGAUUAGAUACCCUGGUAGUC
RNAcentral lists this ribosomal RNA (460 nucleotides) under uncultured bacterium. RNAcentral's name for it is "partial 16S ribosomal RNA". It matches the Rfam family "Bacterial small subunit ribosomal RNA", at positions 338 to 795 of the family's 1533-position model. The record is from RNAcentral.